RNAcentral lists this ribosomal RNA (253 nucleotides) under uncultured bacterium. Its description in RNAcentral is "partial 16S ribosomal RNA". It matches the Rfam family "Bacterial small subunit ribosomal RNA", at positions 524 to 776 of the family's 1533-position model. The record is from RNAcentral.
UACGUAGGGACCGAGCGUUGUCCGGAUUCAUUGGGCGUAAAGAGCUCGUAGGCGGCCGCUCAAGUCGAAUGUGAAACCUCGAGGCUCAACCUCGAGCCUGCAUUCGAUACUGGGCGGCUAGAGUCUGGUAGGGGGAUCUGGAAUUCCUGGUGUAGCGGUGAAAUGCGCAGAUAUCAGGAGGAACACCAAUAGCGAAGGCAGCUCGCUGGGACGGUACUGACGCUGAGGCGCGAAAGCGUGGGGAGCAAACAGG